UUAGGAAUAUUCGUCAAUGGGGGAAACCCUGAACGAGCAAUGCCGCGUGAGUGGUGAAGGUCCUUUGGAUUGUAAAACUCUGUUGUAUGGGAAGAAUGACCAAACUAGGAAAUGAGUUUGGAGUGACGGUACCAUGCCAGAAAGCUCCGGCUAACUACGUGCCAGCAGCCGCGGUAAUACGUAGGGAGCGAGCGUUAUCCGGAUUUAUUGGGCGUAAAGGGUGCGUAGGCGGCUUGUUAAGUAUGAAAUUAAAGCCCGGGGCUUAACUCCGGUUCGUUUCAUAAACUGGCUAGCUUGAGUAUGGAAGAGGUAAACGGAAUUUCUAGUGUAGCGGUGGAAUGCGUAGAUAUUAGAAGGAACACCAGUGGCGAAGGCGGUUUACUGGGCCAUUACUGACGCUGAGACACGAAAGCGUGGGGAGCAAAUAGGAUUAGAUACCCUGGUAGU
RNAcentral lists this ribosomal RNA (447 nucleotides) under uncultured bacterium. RNAcentral's name for it is "bacterial SSU rRNA". It matches the Rfam family "Bacterial small subunit ribosomal RNA", at positions 355 to 794 of the family's 1533-position model. The record is from RNAcentral.